Molecule: non-coding RNA, 108 nt
Organism: Massarina eburnea CBS 473.64
Lineage: Eukaryota; Fungi; Ascomycota; Dothideomycetes; Pleosporales; Massarinaceae
Source: the annotation of a GenBank genome assembly
GGCGCUCUGGCAGAGUGGUUAUUGCGUAAGACUAGAACUUGUUCUUCACAGAACUCGCUCAGACAUCUUAUUCCUUCGGGAGCACAGGUUCGAAUCCUGUGGGCGUCG